This 728-nucleotide ribosomal RNA is filed under the name uncultured Pseudomonadota bacterium. RNAcentral describes it as "bacterial SSU rRNA". It matches the Rfam family "Bacterial small subunit ribosomal RNA", at positions 34 to 751 of the family's 1533-position model. Lineage: Bacteria; Pseudomonadati; Pseudomonadota. The record is from RNAcentral.
CGCUGGCGGCAGGCCUAACACAUGCAAGUCGAACGGUAACAGGAAGAAGCUUGCUUCUUUGCUGACGAGUGGCGGACGGGUGAGUAAUGUCUGGGAAACUGCCUGAUGGAGGGGGAUAACUACUGGAAACGGUAGCUAAUACCGCAUAACGUCGCAAGACCAAAAAGGGGGACCUUCGGGCCUCUUGCCAUCGGAUGUGCCCAGAUGGGAUUAGCUAGUAGGUGGGGUAACGGCUUACCUAGGCGACGAUCCCUAGCUGGUCUGAGAGGAUGACCAGCCACACUGGAACUGAGACACGGUCCAGACUCCUACGGGAGGCAGCAGUGGGGAAUAUUGCACAAUGGGCGCAAGCCUGAUGCAGCCAUGCCGCGUGUAUGAAGAAGGCCUUCGGGUUGUAAAGUACUUUCAGCGGGGAGGAAGGGAGUAAAGUUAAUACCUUUGCUCAUUGACGUUACCCGCAGAAGAAGCACCGGCUAACUCCGUGCCAGCAGCCGCGGUAAUACGGAGGGUGCAAGCGUUAAUCGGAAUUACUGGGCGUAAAGCGCACGCAGGCGGUUUGUUAAGUCAGAUGUGAAAUCCCCGGGCUCAACCUGGGAACUGCAUCUGAUACUGGCAAGCUUGAGUCUCGUAGAGGGGGGUAGAAUUCCAGGUGUAGCGGUGAAAUGCGUAGAGAUCUGGAGGAAUACCGGUGGCGAAGGCGGCCCCCUGGACGAAGACUGACGCUCAGG